RNAcentral lists this non-coding RNA (164 nucleotides) under uncultured Butyricicoccus sp. Lineage: Bacteria; Bacillati; Bacillota; Clostridia; Eubacteriales; Butyricicoccaceae. The record is from RNAcentral.
AUACAGGUGCCCCGCAGCAUAGUCGGGGUGAAAAGGGAAGACGGGUGAGAAUCCCGCACAAUGCCGUUGCUGUAUUGGCCGAGCGGCCGCCAAAUGUCACUGGAGCAAUCCGGGAAGGCGGUUGGCUGCGUUUGAGGUCUGAGUCAGAAUACCUGCCUGUGUAU